Molecule: ribosomal RNA, 424 nt
Filed under: uncultured Pseudomonas sp.
Lineage: Bacteria; Pseudomonadati; Pseudomonadota; Gammaproteobacteria; Pseudomonadales; Pseudomonadaceae
Description: bacterial SSU rRNA
Rfam family: Bacterial small subunit ribosomal RNA
Source: RNAcentral
AAGCAACGCGAAGAACUAACCAGGCCUUGACAUGCAGAGAACUUUCCAGAGAUGGAUGGUGCCUUCGGGAACUCUGACACAGGUGCUGCAUGGCUGUCGUCAGCUCGUGCGUGAGAUGUUGGGUUAAGUCCGUAACGAGCGCAACCCUUGUCCUUAGUUACCAGCACGCUAUGGUGGGCACUCUAAGGAGACUGCCGGUGCAAACCGGAGGAAGGUGGGGAUGACGUCAAGUCAUCAUGGCCCUUACGGCCUGGGCUACACACGUGCUACAAUGGUCGGUACAAAGGGUUGCCAAGCCGCGAGGUGGAGCUAAUCCCAUAAAACCGAUCGUAGUCCGGAUCGCAGUCUGCAACUCGACUGCGUGAAGUCGGAAUCGCUAGUAAUCGUGAAUCAGAAUGUCACGGUGAAUACGUUCCCGGGCCUU